Molecule: ribosomal RNA, 466 nt
Filed under: uncultured bacterium
Lineage: Bacteria
Description: partial 16S ribosomal RNA
Rfam family: Bacterial small subunit ribosomal RNA
Source: RNAcentral
GACGAACGCUGGCGGCGCGCCUAACACAUGCAAGUCGAACGAGCGAGAGAGAGCUUGCUUUCUCGAGCGAGUGGCGAACGGGUGAGUAACGCGUGAGGAACCUGCCUCAAAGAGGGGGACAACAGUUGGAAACGACUGCUAAUACCGCAUAAGCCCACGACCCGGCAUCGGGUAGAGGGAAAAGGAGCAAUCCGCUUUGAGAUGGCCUCGCGUCCGAUUAGCUAGUUGGUGAGGUAACGGCCCACCAAGGCGACGAUCGGUAGCCGGACUGAGAGGUUGAACGGCCACAUUUGGACUGAGACACGGCCCAGAAUCCUACGGGAGGGAGCAGUGGGGAAUAUUGCACAAUGGGGGAAAACCUGAUGCAGCGACGCCGCGUGGAGGAAGAAGGUCUUCGGAUUGUAAACUCCUGUUGUUGAGGAAGAUAAUGACGGUACUCAACAAGGAAGUGACGGCUAACUACGUG